UUACCACUCUGGCCUAAUGGCUUAGAUCAAGUGUAGUAUCUGUUCUUAAUAGUCUAACCACUAUUACGGAGGCACGCCUCCUAUAUCGGUUAUCCUAUUUUUGCCGCCCCGUUGUCAUUGGGCUCUGCUUGCACCCCUCGGAUGUCGAUGACCUUCCUGCUGCACUGCCGGGUAGCGUCGUCGGGGGAUC
Non-coding RNA from Galerina marginata CBS 339.88, 190 nucleotides. The record is from Rfam. Lineage: Eukaryota; Fungi; Basidiomycota; Agaricomycetes; Agaricales; Galerinaceae.